UUUCCACCUGCCUGUCCCCUCUUGCUUCAGCGCUUCCAGGCCAUGGAGGAGACGCACCUGAGGCACAUGAAGGCACUGCUGGGCUCCUAUGCUCACUCGGUGGAGGACACGCAUGUGCAGAUCGGGCAGGUGCAUGAGGAAUUUAAGCAGAACAUUGAGAACGUCAGCGUGGAGAUGCUACUCAGGAAGUUUGCAGAGAGUAAGGGCACAGGCCGGGAGAAGCCAGAUCCCAGAGGAGCCUUGAAUGCCAGGUUCAGCUGAUCUGACUUCACCCGCCAGGACCUAAGGGGGCCAUUGUGGGUUGUGGAGCAAAAGAACAAUUUGCAAAUGCUCAGAUGCAGUACUGGGGAGGAGUUAAGAGCAAAAGUUGGGCCGGGCGCGGUGGCGCACGCCUAGAAUCCCAGCACUUUGGGAGACUAAGGCGGACAGC
Molecule: long non-coding RNA, 430 nt
Organism: Cebus imitator (Panamanian white-faced capuchin)
Lineage: Eukaryota; Metazoa; Chordata; Mammalia; Primates; Cebidae
Exons: 3
Source: RefSeq, a predicted model, not a curated record